Molecule: long non-coding RNA, 4375 nt
Filed under: Malus domestica (apple)
Lineage: Eukaryota; Viridiplantae; Streptophyta; Magnoliopsida; Rosales; Rosaceae
Description: long non-coding RNA (MDOM_LNC017467)
Source: RNAcentral
CCAAAGUUUUCCUAGGUCUUCCUCUACUCCUUCGGCCCCGAACCUCUGUCCCGUAGUCACAUUUUCGAACCGGAGCGUCAGUAGGCCUUCUUUGCACAUGUCCAAACCACCGGGACCGAUUUUCUCUCAUAUUUUCUUCAAUUUUGGCUACUCCUACUUUACCUCGGAUAUCCUAAUUCCCAAUCUUAUCCUUUCUCGUGUGCCCAUACAUCCCACGAAGCAUCCUCAUCUCCGCUACACCCAUUUUGUGUACGUUGAUGCUUCACCGCCCAACAUUCUGUGCCAUACAACAUCGCUGGCCUUAUUGCCGUCCUAUAAAAUUUUCCCUUGAGCUUCAGUGGCCUACGACGGUCACACAACACGCCGGAUGCACUCUUACACUUCAUCCAUCCAGCUUGUAUUCUAUGGUUGAGAUCUCCAUCUAAUUCUCCGUUCUCUUGCAAGAUAGAUCCUAGGUAGCGAAAACGGUCACUUUUUGUGAUCUUCGCUAGAUUGCUCCGGUCAUUAGUGUGGAUAAGUAUAUAAAUUGAUAGAGAUAGAAAAGCAAACACAAGAUGUACGUGGUUCACCCAGAUUGGCUACGUCCACGGAAUAGAGGAGUUCUCAUUAAUUGUGAAGGGUUUACACAAGUACAUAGGUUCAAGCUCUCCUUUAGUGAGUACAAGUGAAUGAUUUAAUACAAAUGACAUUAGGAAAAAUUGUGGGAGAAUGAUCUCGUAGCCACGAAACUUCUAAGUACCGGAGUGUGGUAUCGUCUUGACUUGCCUUAUCUGUCUCAUAGGUAGAUGUGACAUCUUCUCUGGAAGUACUCUUCCUCCAUCCAGGGUAGUAUCUGUAACUGGUGGAGAUGCACAAGGUAAUGUAUCAAUUUCACUUGAAGCUUACUUGUAGUUUCAUGCUUGGUCAAGCGAGACACAAACCAUGUAGUAGGAGUCCCCCAAGUCGCCGAGCGGGGAUCUGCUAAAAGAGGUGACAGACAAGGUAAGCAAUCAGAGCUCCGGCUGAUUGUUCACAUUCUCCCUAUCUUGCAGGCAGCAUGAAGGAUAAAGAGAAGAAAAAUGAGGAGAGAUGAUAUGGGAUACUUUUGCUUUUGAAGAAGUAACUUUCCACAGGCUUAUUCUUGAACUGGGCUGGAGGGUUUUCUAGUUUCCUCCAGAGUAUAAGGCCGACUGAAGAAUUUGAGGGUCAAAACAAGUCCAUCAAAUCUAGAGUACGUUCGACCCUGCUGAUAUGGGAUACUUUUGCUUUUGAUAGAGUAGUGGAUGUAUCGGCACGUGUGCUGUUACACUUGUCUCCACAUGCUUCCUUGUAUCCUUCUCACUUGCCUUAUCUGUUCCUCAGGCAGAUGCGGUAUCUUCCCUGGAAGCAUAAGAUGUUGAAGAUGAGUACUCGAGAGCAAUGCCAGGUAAGUAAUCAGGUAAGGGGUUCCAGGCAGUCAGUUCCUGGCUGGAAGCUUGAUUCCAAGUGCUGACUGAUUGCUCUCUUUCUCCUUGUCUUGCAGGUAAGAACAAGGCCAAAGGGAAAGACAGGGAAAAAGCAUGAUAUGGGAUACUCUUGCUUUUAACCCUGAUGAUAUGAGAUAUUCUUGCUCUAGUAUAGCUUGUUUACAGAGGUAUUAUCGGGGGGAAAAAAAGCUGAAUAUUUCGAAAGGCUUUGUUGGGAGUGCCCUCUCAGAUAAGAGAAAGGGUUGAGCAUUUUUGCGGGUCUGCCUGUCCGUUAGGGAUGGAAGUCGACAUAUAUAGGAGUCUCCCUAACAUCAAGUAAUAAUGCUAUUCCUUUACCCUGCUUGGUUAUAGCACGGUAGUGGGAGCUGCCAGCUUCACAUGUUUUAACUCUGUCAGAGCACUUUGAAAAAGUGGUUUGUGGUAUCUGGAAAGCUGAUGUUGCGUGUGAAGAUUACAGACCUGUCGGGGGUCUGGCUCUCGAGAUUCGGAAAACGAUGCCUCUUCGAUUUUUGAGAAAGCAAUCCUGCUGGGGGUCUGGCUCUCGAGAUUCGGAGAGUGGUGUCUCUUCGAUUUUUGAGAAAGUAAUCAUGUUGGGAGUCUGUCUCUCGAGAUUCGGAGGACGGUGCCUCUUCGAUUUUGGAGCAAGCAAUCUUGUUGGGAGUGUUUUUUCUCGAAUGAGAGUAAAGGUUGGGCAUGUUUGCUAGUCUACCUUGCCACGAAGCACAGAGGUUGACACACAGGGACUUUCCAAUUAUCCAGCAGUGGUACUGUUCCUUUACCCUAUCUUCGAUUUUUGAGAAAGUAAUCAUGUUGGGAGUCUGGCUCUCGAGAUUCGGAGGGCGGUGCCUCUUCGAUUUUGGAGCAAGCAAUCUUGUUAGGAGUGUUUUCUCGAAUGUGAGUAAAGGUUGGGCAUGUUUGCUAGUCUACCUUGCCACGAAGCACAGAGGUUGACACACCGGGACUUUCCAAUUAUCCAGCAGUGGUACUGUUCCUUUACCCUUGUGGGUAAUAAUAUGGUAGCUAGACCUUCAAAAUUUAUGUGUCUAAACUUUGUUAGUGUUGUUUCUUUGCAAUUCUUUUACCCUUCUUGGUCAGAGCGGUGUAGUGGGAGCUGCAAGCUUCACGUGUCUCAACUUUGUCAGAGAACUUUGGCAAAGUUAUCUGUGGUACCCAUGAGCUACUGUUGCGUGUGGGAAGUGGGUGAUUGAACAGUACGAUUCAUGUGCUUUCUACUUCGCCAGAAAUCUUCGACAGAAUGCCCAUAAUUUCCGCAAAGCUGAGUGUGCGUGUGACAGGUGCUGACAAGGCUGGAAAAGUAGGUGCCUCUUCGAUUUCUGAAAAUCGGCCCUCGUGGUCUCUGAGCAGCCCAGCUUUUGAGAAAGCAAGCCUCUUCGAUUUCUGAGAUCGGCCUUUGUGGUCUUUGAGCAGCCCAGCUUUUGAGAAUCUCUGAGCAGCCCAGCUUUUGAGAAAGCAAACGCCUCUUCGAUUUCUGAGCAGGCGCCUCUUCGAUUUCUGAAGCUUCAUCGAGUGCAGAUUUUUUAUAGGGGCUGACAUUAAGUUCCAAAGCACACUUGAAUAUCCACCAGUAGAAGCUCCAUUCUUGCACUUCUAAGAUCUUGAUUUGUCCGACCUCUUUAUCUCUUCAACACCUUUGAAAAUGUCUGGCCCCUCCGACCGUCGUUUUGACUUGAACCUUGUUGAAGAGGCAGCCCCGCCUUCUCCAGACAACAUAUGGCGCCCAUCCUUCGUCUCCCCUACUGGUCCUCUUACCGUUGGGGAUUCCGUGAUGAAGAAUGAUAUGACCGCUGCGGUAGUGGCCAGGAACCUUCUCACUCCCAAAGAUAACAGACUACUUUCCAAACGGUCUGAUGAGUUGUCUGUUAAGGAUUCUCUGGCUCUCAGUGUUCAGUGUGCAGGUUCUGUGUCUAAUAUGGCCCAACGCCUAUUUGCUCGAACCCGCCAAGUUGAAUCAUUGGCGGCUGAAGUGAUGAGUCUCAAACAGGAGAUUAGAGGGCUCAAGCAUGAGAAUAAACAGUUGCACCGGCUCGCACAUGACUAUGCUACAAACAUGAAGAGGAAGCUUGACCAGAUGAAGGAAUCUGAUGGUCAGGCUUUUACUUGAUCAUCAGAGAUUUGUGGGUUUGUUCCAAAGGCAUUUAUUGCCUUCGUCUUCUGGGGCUGUACCGCGUAAUGAAGCUCCAAAUGAUCAAUCUCUGAUGCCUCCUCCUUCUAGGGUUUUGUCCAAUACUGAGGCUCCGAAUGAUCCCCCUCCGGUGCCUUCUCUUUCUGGGGCUCUACCGACUGCUGAGACUUCUCCUAAGCAACCUUUGUGAAGGCUCCCUCUUGUUUGUUUAUUUUGACUCAAGUAUAUGUACAUAUUUGUAACUUAUCGGGGAUAUCAAUAAAUAAGCUUUCAUUUCAACGUAUUGUGUUAAAUACACCAAAGCCUUCUUCGCUAAGUUCUUUGAAUUUUCUUUUGUUGAAGCUUGUAUGUUGAAGCUUUGUGAGUGGAGCAUAUAGGUUGAGGUAGUGUUCCCUUAAUUUCCCGAGUGAGGAAAACUUCUCGGUUGGAGACUUGGAAAAUCCAAGUCACUGAGUGGGAUCGGCUAUAUGAAUCUUAGAACGCCAUUGUGUUCUGUCCUGUGUCAUGUCCUCCGUUAGAUCCAAGUACUCUAAGUCUUUUCUUAGGGUCUCUUCCAAAGUUUUCCUAGGUCUUCCUCUGCCCCUUCGGCCCUGAACCUCUGUCCCAUAGUCGCAUCUUCUAAUCGGAGCGUCAGUAGGCCUUCCUUGCACAUGUCCAAACCACCGUAACCGAUUUUCUCUCAUCUUUCCUUCAAUUUCGGCUACUCCUACUUUACCCCGGAUAUCCUCAUUCCUAAUCUUAUCCUUUCUCGUGUGCCCACACAUCCAACGAAGCAUCCUCAUCUCCG